RNAcentral lists this long non-coding RNA (347 nucleotides) under Sorghum bicolor (sorghum). RNAcentral's name for it is "long non-coding RNA (SBIC_LNC001220)". The record is from RNAcentral. Lineage: Eukaryota; Viridiplantae; Streptophyta; Magnoliopsida; Poales; Poaceae.
CUCUCUUCUCACUUUACUACAAGAGCUCCUUCUCUGGAAACUGAAACUUGUGUGGUUUUCUGGAGUGCUUGUGUGGAGAGGAUGGAGGUAGAUGGUGGCUAUUUAUAGGAGGAAGAGGGGGCAGGGCGGGCGCCCUUGGUAGGUGGGCGGGCGCCCACUUACAGUGCACAUCCAGGCUGCCCUUUCUCCACUCCUUUCUCUGCUUAAUUCUCACGCAAAAUAAUGGAUCAUGGGUGGUGGUUGGCCGGUGGAAAAGUGCUGGUUAGUGGAGAUAUGUUGGUGGAUGAAAUAAUGUGAUGGGAUGUAUGUGAGGUGUGGUGUAUGACAUGUGGGACCCAAGGAGUGUG